AUGGCUUCUUCGGUAAAAUAUAGUUGGCGUCUCAAAAAGUAUGCAAAAUUUCUUUACGAAGAUGAUUUGAAUGAAUACGAUGAAGAAGCUGAAACAAUGGACGUCCCUUGCAAAGGCACUUGGAGACUGUAUUCUGGAAAUGGCAUGGACCUCAUUUUAUCCUAUUUAGAGUCAGACCAUUUUCUGUUGUCAAGAGGUGAUAUUAUAUUGGAGAGCUUUUCUCUGAUCAACAGCAAGUCAUGGAUGAAAGGUGUAGCAAAAGAAGACAGCUUACUUCUUACAUGUCAGCUUAAGGUAAUGUAAGA
Stegodyphus dumicola is the source of this 305-nucleotide long non-coding RNA. The record is from RefSeq and is a predicted model, not a curated record. Lineage: Eukaryota; Metazoa; Arthropoda; Arachnida; Araneae; Eresidae.